RNAcentral lists this unclassified non-coding RNA (346 nucleotides) under soil metagenome. RNAcentral's name for it is "partial contains 5.8S ribosomal RNA, internal transcribed spacer 2, and large subunit ribosomal RNA". The stretch from base 1 to 120 matches the Rfam family "5.8S ribosomal RNA", at positions 35 to 154 of the family's 154-position model. The record is from RNAcentral.
GAUGAAGAACGUAGCGAAAUGCGAUAAGUAAUGCGAAUUGCAGAAUUCAGUGAGUCAUCGAAUCUUUGAACGCACAUUGCGCCCGCUGGUAUUCCGGCGGGCAUGCCUGUUCGAGCGUCAUUUCAACCCUCAAGCCCCCGGGUUUGGUGUUGGGGAUCGGCUCUGCCUUCUGGCGGUGCCGCCCCCGAAAUACAUUGGCGGUCUCGCUGCAGCCUCCAUUGCGUAGUAGCUAACACCUCGCAACUGGAACGCGGCGCGGCCAUGCCGUAAAACCCCAACUUCUGAAUGUUGACCUCGGAUCAGGUAGGAAUACCCGCUGAACUUAAGCAUAUCAAUAAGCGGAGGA